RNAcentral lists this ribosomal RNA (513 nucleotides) under uncultured bacterium. Its description in RNAcentral is "partial 16S ribosomal RNA". It matches the Rfam family "Bacterial small subunit ribosomal RNA", at positions 28 to 523 of the family's 1533-position model. The record is from RNAcentral.
GAUGAACGCUGGCGGCGUGCCUAUUACAUGCAAGUCGAGCGAACAGACGAGGAGCUUGCUCCUCUGACGUUAGCGGUGGACGGGUGAGUAACACGUGGAUAACCUACCUAUAAGACUGGGAUAACUUCGGGAAGCCGGAGCUAAUACCGGAUAACAUGUUGAACCGCAUGGUUCAACAGUGAAAGACGGUCUUGCUGUCACUUAUAGAUGGAUCCGCGACGCAUUAGCUAGUUGGUAAGGUAACGGCUUACCAAGGCAACGAUGCGUAGCCGAGCUGAGAGGGUUAUCGGCCAAACUGGAACUGAGACACGGUCCAGACUCCUACGGGAGGCAGCAGUAGGGAAUCUUCCGCAAUGGGCGAAAGCCUGACGGAGCAACGCCGCGUGAGUGAAGAAGGUCUUCGGAUCGUAAAACUCUGUUAUUAGGGAAGAACAAAUGUGUAAGUAACUAUGCACGUCUUGACGGUACCUAAUCAGAAAGCCACGGCUAACUACGUGCCAGCCGCCGCGGUAA